RNAcentral lists this ribosomal RNA (442 nucleotides) under uncultured bacterium. Its description in RNAcentral is "bacterial SSU rRNA". It matches the Rfam family "Bacterial small subunit ribosomal RNA", at positions 958 to 1397 of the family's 1533-position model. The record is from RNAcentral.
AACGCGAAGAACCUUACCCGGGCUUGAACUACGGAUGGUAAGUCCCUAGAAACAGGGGCUGACCCGCAAGGGAGUCCGCAGAGGUGCUGCAUGGUUGUCGUCAGCUCGUGUCGUGAGAUGUUGGGUUAAGUCCCGCAACGAGCGCAACCCUUGUCCUAUGUUGCCAGCGGGUAAUGCCGGGGACUCGUAGGAGACUGCCGGGGUCAACUCGGAGGAAGGUGGGGAUGACGUCAAGUCAUCAUGCCCCUUACGUCCAGGGCUGCACACAUGCUACAAUGGCCGGUACAACGGGCUGCUAUCCCGCGAGGGGGAGCCAAUCCCAAAAGCCGGUCUCAGUUCGGAUUGGAGUCUGCAACUCGACUCCAUGAAGUCGGAGUCGCUAGUAAUCCCGGAUCAGCAACGCCGGGUGAAUACGUUCCCGGGCCUUGUACACACCGAUAGC